CGAGGGGUAACAGGGUCUUCGGACUGCUGACGACCGGCGCACGGGUGAGUAACGCGUAUACAAUCUGCCUAUUACUAAGAGAUAGCCCAGAGAAAUUUGGAUUAAUAUUUUAUGGCAUUACGACUUGGCAUCGAGUUGUAAUUAAAGGUUACGGUAAUAGAUGAGUAUGCGUCCUAUUAGCUUGAUGGUAAGGUAACGGCUUACCAUGGCUACGAUAGGUAGGGGUCCUGAGAGGGAGAUCCCCCACACUGGUACUGAGACACGGACCAGACUCCUACGGGAGGCAGCAGUGAGGAAUAUUGGACAAUGGGAGCAAUCCUGAUCCAGCCAUGCCGCGUGCAGGAAGACUGCCCUAUGGGUUGUAAACUGCUUUUAUACAGGAAGAAAAAGUCCGACGUGUCGGGUGUUGACGGUACUGUAAGAAUAAGGAUCGGCUAACUCCGUGCCAGCAGCCGCGGUAAUACGGAGGAUCCAAGCGUUAUCCGGAAUCAUUGGGUUUAAAGGGUCCGUAGGCGGGACAAUAAGUCAGUGGUGAAAGUCUGCAGCUCAACUGUAGAAUUGCCAUUGAUACUGUUGUUCUUGAGUGCUUGUGAAGUGGUUAGAAUGAGUAGUGUAGCGGUGAAAUGCAUAGAUAUUACUCAGAAUACCGAUUGCGAAGGCAGAUCACUAACAAUUCACUGACGCUGAUGGACGAAAGCGUAGGUAGCGAACAGGAUUA
This 718-nucleotide ribosomal RNA is filed under the name uncultured Bacteroidota bacterium. RNAcentral describes it as "bacterial SSU rRNA". It matches the Rfam family "Bacterial small subunit ribosomal RNA", at positions 63 to 780 of the family's 1533-position model. The record is from RNAcentral. Lineage: Bacteria; Pseudomonadati; Bacteroidota.